Molecule: long non-coding RNA, 362 nt
Organism: Callorhinus ursinus (northern fur seal)
Lineage: Eukaryota; Metazoa; Chordata; Mammalia; Carnivora; Otariidae
Source: RefSeq, a predicted model, not a curated record
GAACCGGUUCUUCGCCGUUAGCCAGCGAACGAGGAAGCAAAUUAAAGGCCGUUUCUGCCCCCGUCACCCCAGUUUUGACAGUUGAGCUGCUCACUUCUUUCCCGGUCUUGAAAGCCGCUGUGUACACCGGGCACUGAGAACGGUACCUGGCCCGUUCACACGAAUACCUGGACGGACGCAGACGCCAGCCCCGGUCGUGAUCUUAGGGUCCGGAGAUGGGAGUCCUGCCAGCUUAACUGCGGCAAAUCGUUUACGAUUAUGACAUAAGGCUGUUUAAAGGUCAAAGAAAAAGAUUCACACAUGUUAUACACAAGGACAAUUUUAAUCCUCCAUUAUCCUGCAGUAACAUCCACUGCUGGCUU